GAAGGAGCCCCGACUCCCCGGGACAGCCGGGGCACCGGUGAGGAUCCCUCGUUCUCCCUCGGCAGUUUCCCGGAGAGGCGGCGGGGAAGGGCCGACGAUGGACCUCGAUGGGCCGGACGCCGCCCGCCGGGAGGCAGAGCUGGAGCGCGGCCGCUACUUGAGCCGCCGGGCCGUGGCCCAGGAGCAGCUGGUGCAGAAUAUGUAGCUGAACAGAAAGUAAUUAAAGCUGAAGAGAAAAAAAAAGAAGACAAAGAUGAUGAUUGGAUUAAGGAUUAAAGAAACGAUGGCUGAUCUGGCAAGAGAAAAAGAUGCAGAGACUAACAGGCUGAUGCAGAAGCAUAGGGACAAAGCUUUUGAAAAAACUAUCUGCACAGAUGAACAAGGCAUUUAAGAUUGAAGAUGAUUGCCUUGUGAGAGGAGCUGCAGAGGUAGAAGCUGAAUACCAAAUGAAAAACUAGGAGAAAGAAGCAAGACAGAAGGCUGCCAUUGAAUCUAUUGCUGAAUACAGAGCCAGUGCGGUAAGAAACCUGGGCUGAUCUUACUGCUGCUUACUUCAGCUGAGGAGCCUGGCCCAGAUCACAGCUGG
RNAcentral lists this long non-coding RNA (586 nucleotides) under Lepidothrix coronata (blue-crowned manakin). Its description in RNAcentral is "lncRNA (ENSLCOG00000016380.1)". The record is from RNAcentral. Lineage: Eukaryota; Metazoa; Chordata; Aves; Passeriformes; Pipridae.